RNAcentral lists this ribosomal RNA (266 nucleotides) under uncultured soil bacterium. RNAcentral describes it as "partial 16S ribosomal RNA". It matches the Rfam family "Bacterial small subunit ribosomal RNA", at positions 26 to 281 of the family's 1533-position model. The record is from RNAcentral.
AGAAUCAACGCUGGCGGCGUGCCUAACACAUGCAAGUCGAACGCGGUUACCCCGCAAGGGGUAACUGAGUGGCGAACGGGUGAGUAACACGUGGGUGACCUACCUUCGAAUGGGGGAUAACGUCCCGAAAGGGACGCUAAUACCGCAUAACAUCCUGUCCUUGAACGGAUGGAGAUCAAAGCCGGGGAUCGUAAGACCUGGCGUUUGAAGAGGGCCCGCGUCCGAUUAGCUAGUUGGUGAGGUAACGGCUCACCAAGGCGACGAUC